RNAcentral lists this transfer RNA (71 nucleotides) under Heterocephalus glaber (naked mole-rat). It matches the Rfam family "tRNA". Rfam says of the family: Transfer RNA (tRNA) molecules are approximately 80 nucleotides in length. Their secondary structure includes four short double-helical elements and three loops (D, anti-codon, and T loops). Further hydrogen bonds mediate the characteristic L-shaped molecular structure. tRNAs have two regions of fundamental functional importance: the anti-codon, which is responsible for specific mRNA codon recognition, and the 3' end, to which the tRNAs corresponding amino acid is attached (by aminoacyl-tRNA synthetases). tRNAs cope with the degeneracy of the genetic code in two manners: having more than one tRNA (with a specific anti-codon) for a particular amino acid; and 'wobble' base-pairing, i.e. permitting non-standard base-pairing at the 3rd anti-codon position. The record is from Rfam by way of RNAcentral. Lineage: Eukaryota; Metazoa; Chordata; Mammalia; Rodentia; Bathyergidae.
GAGGAUGUAGCUCAGUGGUAGAGUGCUUGCCUAGCAUGCACAAAGGCCUGGAUUCCAUCCCCAGCACCUCA